Molecule: transfer RNA, 71 nt
Filed under: Marmota monax (woodchuck)
Lineage: Eukaryota; Metazoa; Chordata; Mammalia; Rodentia; Sciuridae
Description: tRNA.Ser
Rfam family: tRNA
About the family: Transfer RNA (tRNA) molecules are approximately 80 nucleotides in length. Their secondary structure includes four short double-helical elements and three loops (D, anti-codon, and T loops).
Source: RNAcentral
GGGGUUGUAGCUCAGUAGUAGAGCACAUGUAGAGCAUGUGUGAGGCCCUGGGUUCGAUCCCCAGCACCACA